CUUCAAACGAUCACUACUUUUGUAGAAACCCGACGUCUUACUUUUUUUUUUUUUUUAAAUGACAUUUUUCACAGCUUGAAAAAUGCAUCUUCUCACAUAUGUACACGAUCUGUACAAAACCCUCAUGAUUCUGAAUUUCUUAAGUCUUACUUUGACUGUACUUCCAUGAAAAUGUCAAUUACAUCCACAGAGGACCUUUGAACGUCUCUCGGUUGGCACAGUGCCAGUGCUUCGUUGCUACUGAAUAUUUUAUGGCAGAGUUUUACCUCAUGACCUCAUGUAAAAUGUCACACUACACAUUUUAUGAUGCGUUUACGACAGUUUACAUGCUCUUAGAAAAAUGGUUCUUCAAGGGUUCUUUCCGUAUACUCGAGAGUUCCUAGCUAAGUUUGGAACGUUUGAAGGUGUGUUCAAAUGAAGAAACCUUAAGACUGUACAUCACGACGCGUUUUAAUGCGGUUUCGUCUUCCAAGUCACACCUUUUUCAGAACUAUCUUUAAAAAAAAACUUCUUAUAUGUAGUGUCCAUGUCUUGCAAGUGCGCUAGUGUCUUCGCCGAGUCACAGCCCCAGAACUCGAGAUACUGUCUCCUUGUCUGUAUGGGUUUCCUCUGGGUUUUUCCAGUUUCCUUCUAAAAGCAUGCCAGUAGAUGGGCUUUAAAUUUCACUUAAAUUAGUGUAUGAAUGUGUGAGUGUGUGUGUGUGUGUGUGUGUGGUGCCCUUUAAUGGACUAGCUUUCCAUCCAGGGUGUCCCCACCUCACACCCAGUGAUCCUGGGAUAGAACCCAGAUCCACAGCAGCCCUGACAAGCUUAUAGGGUCGCGGGGAGCCUGGAGCCCAACCCAGGGGUCUCGGGGCACAAGGCGGGGGACACCCGGGACAGGAAGCCAGCCCAUCACAGGGCACAAUCACACACAUAUUCACACACUAUGGACAAUUUGGACACGCCAAUCAGCCUACAAUGCACGUCUUUUGACUGGGGAAAGAAACCGGAGUACCCGGAGGAAACCCAGAAAGCACGGGAAGAACAUGCAAGCUCCAUGCAAGCGCACAUAGGGCGGAGGCGUGAUUCGAACCUCCGACCCCGGAGAUGCGAGGUAAACGUUCUAACCCCAGUACACAACUAAUCCAAGUCCAUCCAUCCAUCCCUGCUUCUAUGAGACUAUCCCAGGGAGCAUGGGGCACAAGGCGGGGUACACCCUCGACAGGGUGCCAGUCCAUAACUAAUCAAAUUUAUUUUCAAAACCCUUUAUCGCGUUUUUACAUUUUAGAUCUCACUACAGAAUUGUAAUGAACUGUUAUGCAUUGUACCUGUUGCUAUGAUUAACCGGCACGGACAUCAAAUAGAUCAUUGAAUAAACGAAUAAAAAAAUGAACGGAUGA
Molecule: long non-coding RNA, 1381 nt
Organism: Ictalurus punctatus (channel catfish)
Lineage: Eukaryota; Metazoa; Chordata; Actinopteri; Siluriformes; Ictaluridae
Exons: 2
Source: RefSeq, a predicted model, not a curated record